ACGCUGAUGGACGAAAGCGUGGGUAGCGAACAGGAUUAGAUACCCUGGUAGUCCACGCCGUAAACGAUGGAUACUAGCUGUUGGGCGCAAGUUCAGUGGCUAAGCGAAAGUGAUAAGUAUCCACCUGGGGAGUACGUUCGCAAGAAUGAAACUCAAAGGAAUUGACGGGGGCCCGCACAAGCGGUGGAGCAUGUGGUUUAAUUCGAUGAUACGCGAGGAACCUUACCAAGGCUUAAAUGUAGAUUGACCGGUUUGGAAACAGACCCUUCGCAAGACAAUUUACAAGGUGCUGCAUGGUUGUCGUCAGCUCGUGCCGUGAGGUGUCAGGUUAAGUCCUAUAACGAGCGCAACCCCUGUUGUUAGUUGCCAGCAUGUAAUGGUGGGGACUCUAAACAGACUGCCUGUGCAAACAGAGAGGAAGGAGGGGACGACGUCAAGUCAUCAUGGCCCUUACGUCCGGGGCUACACACGUGCUACAAUGGGCAGUACAGAGGGCAGCUACCUGGUAACAGGAUGCCAAUCUCAAAAAGCUGUUCACAGUUCGGAUAGAGGUCUGCAACUCGACCUCUUGAAGUUGGAUUCGCUAGUAAUCGCAUAUCAGCAAUGAUGCGGUGAAUACG
This 620-nucleotide ribosomal RNA is filed under the name uncultured bacterium. Its description in RNAcentral is "bacterial SSU rRNA". It matches the Rfam family "Bacterial small subunit ribosomal RNA", at positions 743 to 1370 of the family's 1533-position model. The record is from RNAcentral.